AUACUUACCUGGCAGGGGAGAUACCAUGAUCAUGAAGGUGGUUUUCCCAGGGCAAGGCUUAUCCAUUGCACUCCAGAUGUGCUGAUCCCUGCGAUUUCCCCAAAUGUGGGAAACCUGACUUCAUAAUUUGUGGUAGUGGGGGACUGCAUUCACGCUUUCCCCUG
RNAcentral lists this small nuclear RNA (164 nucleotides) under Saimiri boliviensis boliviensis (Bolivian squirrel monkey). Its description in RNAcentral is "U1 spliceosomal RNA (ENSSBOG00000010568.1)". It matches the Rfam family "U1 spliceosomal RNA". From Rfam's summary of the family: U1 is a small nuclear RNA (snRNA) component of the spliceosome (involved in pre-mRNA splicing). Its 5' end forms complementary base pairs with the 5' splice junction, thus defining the 5' donor site of an intron. Lineage: Eukaryota; Metazoa; Chordata; Mammalia; Primates; Cebidae. The record is from Rfam by way of RNAcentral.